AUCAUCCAUUUGAGAUAUAUAUAAAAAGAUUGGUUUUUUUAAUUUCUGCACAUAGCCAAUUAUUAAACCUUGUCAAUAGACACCUUUAAAUGAAGGCAUUGCUAGUAUUGGUGAACAUAGACCGACUCUGAAGCAAGAAAGUUUUGAAAUUUAACUCUGAAACAUGUUUGCAUGUGGCCAAAUAGCAAUAGAAUGGUAGAAAUCAACAAAAAAAGAACAAAAAAAAAAAAAAGGAGCUGAUCCAUGAACAUCAAUUAUCACUUCAAUUCCAAACAACAACAGACACAUGAUCCUAAUCUAAUCAGUUUGCAGCUCAUCAGACAGAAAAUAACAUAGAAAGCUCUCUUUUUUUGUCUAUUAUAGCAACUAUCAGAGUAAGUAAACCGACCUUGUAAUCCUCAAAAGACAGUAGCUUUUUAUGUAAUGAGACAAAAUCUUCAGAACUCUUAAGCAGCAGGAGCAGUAGUGACGGUCAUUAUCUUCCUAAUCAAACCCCCACCCCCUGACAGAACAAAAAAACAUG
This is a long non-coding RNA of Brassica rapa (field mustard), 523 nucleotides long. RefSeq lists it as uncharacterized. The record is from RefSeq and is a predicted model, not a curated record. Lineage: Eukaryota; Viridiplantae; Streptophyta; Magnoliopsida; Brassicales; Brassicaceae.